RNAcentral lists this ribosomal RNA (1042 nucleotides) under Paenarthrobacter sp. RNAcentral's name for it is "bacterial SSU rRNA". Lineage: Bacteria; Bacillati; Actinomycetota; Actinomycetes; Micrococcales; Micrococcaceae. The record is from RNAcentral.
GGAUUAGUGGCGAACGGGUGAGUAMCACGUGAGUAACCUGCCCUUGACUCUGGGAUAAGCCUGGGAAACUGGGUCUAAUACCGGAUAUGACUCCUCAUCGCAUGGUGGGGGGUGGAAAGCUUUUGUGGUUUUGGAUGGACUCGCGGCCUAUCAGCUUGUUGGUGGGGUAAUGGCCUACCAAGGCGACGACGGGUAGCCGGCCUGAGAGGGUGACCGGCCACACUGGGACUGAGACACGGCCCAGACUCCUACGGGAGGCAGCAGUGGGGAAUAUUGCACAAUGGGCGCAAGCCUGAUGCAGCGACGCCGCGUGAGGGAUGACGGCCUUCGGGUUGUAAACCUCUUUCAGUAGGGAAGAAGCGAAAGUGACGGUACCUGCAGAAGAAGCGCCGGCUAACUACGUGCCAGCAGCCGCGGUAAUACGUAGGGCGCAAGCGUUAUCCGGAAUUAUUGGGCGUAAAGAGCUCGUAGGCGGUUUGUCGCGUCUGCUGUGAAAGACCGGGGCUCAACUCCGGUUCUGCAGUGGGUACGGGCAGACUAGAGUGCAGUAGGGGAGACUGGAAUUCCUGGUGUAGCGGUGAAAUGCGCAGAUAUCAGGAGGAACACCGAUGGCGAAGGCAGGUCUCUGGGCUGUAACUGACGCUGAGGAGCGAAAGCAUGGGGAGCGAACAGGAUUAGAUACCCUGGUAGUCCAUGCCGUAAACGUUGGGCACUAGGUGUGGGGGACAUUCCACGUUUUCCGCGCCGUAGCUAACGCAUUAAGUGCCCCGCCUGGGGAGUACGGCCGCAAGGCUAAAACUCAAAGGAAUUGACGGGGGCCCGCACAAGCGGCGGAGCAUGCGGAUUAAUUCGAUGCAACGCGAAGAACCUUACCAAGGCUUGACAUGAACCGGAAGACCUGGAAACAGGUGCCCCGCUUGCGGUCGGUUUACAGGUGGUGCAUGGGUUGUCGUCAGCUCGUGUCGUGAGAUGUUGGGUUUAAGUCCCGCAACGAGCGCACCCUCGUUCUAUUGUUGCCAGCGGAUCGGUCGGGGAACUCAUA